This 1376-nucleotide long non-coding RNA is filed under the name Sorghum bicolor (sorghum). RNAcentral's name for it is "long non-coding RNA (SBIC_LNC010709)". The record is from RNAcentral. Lineage: Eukaryota; Viridiplantae; Streptophyta; Magnoliopsida; Poales; Poaceae.
AACACCAUUUUGGCCUAUUUUUUUUUAAGAAUCACAUCCCAUUUAUUGAUGGACCAAUGGUCAAUAUAAAUAUGCUGAUAUUUUUGGCAUUCCCAAAUAGAUCAAAUCAGAUUUACAAACCAUUUAGUCAUAUGUUUAUAUAUACAAAAAGUACGCCCAUUUACACAAAGAAGAAAUUUAAAACAAUACUAAUUUAUACAACUAAUAAUAUUCAUACAACCAAUAUCGACAUAUUUAUCGCCUCCAUCCAUGUAGCUGUUUUGUCUCCUCUAUCCUAGCAACAAUUCCGUCCCCUCCAACCUUGUAGCUGUUAUUUCGAGUUGGUUUGGCGCGGCGCAAUUGCCUUGUUUUUCCUAGAAAAAACAAGACAUAAAAUAGAUCGUUAUCCAAAAAGAUGAAAGUACGUUACAUAGAGGCAACUUGGUCAAUAAGCGAAUUCUAGAAAUAAACAGGACUUACUAAUAAUCAGUGGACCAUAAUAUUGUUCCCUAGAAAUAAGGCUGAUUAUACUGACAGACACAAACAGCCCACCAAAGAAGCUCAAUAACUAGUUAUUAUUAAUCAACAAGCACAUGCAUAUCUCGAAAAAUUCUAGAGAAAGGAUGCUUUAUUUUUGGUAUACGCUAAUUGUAGAUUAGCACUAUAGCAUAAAGAAUGGAAAAAUGACCAUCGGAAAUAGUAUGAGCUGAUGCAUGUUAUAAACUGCAAGGAUAAGGCAUGGUUGACGGCUAGCUUCUUCCUGUUUGCUAGUUCAUGUGCGUUAAACUGCAAACACAUAGAGAAGCAAAUCAGAUAGAGGAUAAACUCGCUCCGGCUAGCGGCCUUCCUCCAAAGCAUACGCUGUUGUCUUGAUGAGAAAAUGAUUUAUGGAACAACUAAAUGCUUUAAAAAAAACUUUAGAUCCAGACAGAGACAAGAAAGGGGCGUGUGAUCUACCUGCAGGAGCCUCGAUUCGUUGUCCUACUCGCGCGCGAUUGAUGUCGUGCUGGAGUUGAAGUUGGGCCACGGAACUGCGGAUGAAGUUGAGCCACGGUGGAGAGUGAGGGAAAGCACAGAGCAGAGGAAAGAAAGAAGAUGAGAAGCUCACCGCUGUCCAUAAGCCAGAUCCACCACGGCUGUAUCCACCAUGGUAGAUCCACCUCUACCUCCACACGGAUGUAUCCACCAGGGUUGCUCAUGUGACAGCUCUUAGAGAUCCAGAGCAGCAAGCUAAACUUAGAUAAAAUAGAAAGCAGAGAAGAGAGCUUGCUGGGAUGGGGUUCGGGGCGGCGGGGUGGGAAUGGCUGAGGGCGUGAUGCAGACAGGGUAGAGUAGCGUUAGGGUUCGUAGACUUUUAUUCCACACAUGUGGAUGGUCGGUCGUCAGAUAAAAUGGAU